RNA transcript from Corylus avellana, 1854 nucleotides. It is a transcript of the gene named GPCR-type G protein 1, with no coding region annotated. The record is from RefSeq and is a predicted model, not a curated record. NCBI's taxonomy places the organism in Eukaryota, Viridiplantae, Streptophyta, Magnoliopsida, Fagales, Betulaceae.
AAGGUAAGAAAGAAACCAGAAAGGCUAUUCAGUGAAAAGAAAAACUAUUCAGAUCAAGAAGAGGAACACAGAGAGAGAGAGAGGGAGAGAGAGGCUUGAGUUUUGAGAGAUGGGGUGGGGGUGGGCGAUCUACGAGAGCGUCGUCGUAUUGGGGUCGCUGUGCCUGCUGGGAUGGACGGGGCUGUGGUUCCUGAACCGCAGGCUCUACAAGGAGUACGAAGAGAAGCGAGUCUUGGUUCAGAUCAUCUUCAGCGUCGUCUUCGCCUUCUCCUGCAACCUCUUCCAGCUCGUCCUCUUUGAGAUCAUCCCCAUCCUCUCCAAAGAGGCGAGAUGGAUGAACUGGAAGCUGGAUUUGUUUUGUUUGAUACUGUUGCUGGUCUUCAUGCUCCCUUACUAUCAUUGUUUCUUGAUGCUUUGCAACAGCGGUGUAAGGAUGGAACGAGCUGCACUUGGAGCUAUCUUGUUCUUGCUGGCAUUUCUGUAUGCUUUUUGGCGCAUGGGCAUUCACUUUCCUAUGCCAUCACCUGAUAAAGGUUUCUUCACUAUGCCUCAGUUGGUCAGUAGAAUUGGUGUCAUUGGUGUUACUGUCAUGGCUGUCUUAUCUGGUUUUGGGGCCGUAAAUUUGCCAUACAGUUACUUAUCACUCUUCAUCAGAGAGAUUGAGGAGACAGAGAUCAAGGGCUUGGAGAGACAACUAAUGCAAUCAAUUGAGACUUGCAUAGCAAAGAAAAAGAAAAUUAUUCUUUGUCAAAUGGAGAUGGAGCGCAUUCAAGGAUCAGAGGAGAUAAAGGCUAGAUCCUUCUUUAACCGAAUUGUUGGCACAGUUGUACGAUCUAUGCAGGAUGACCAAAGGCAGCAAGACAUCACAAGCAUGGAAGCGGAGGUACAAGCCUUAGAAGAGCUCUCAAAGCAGCUAUUUUUGGAAAUCUAUGAGCUACGGCAAGCUAAGGAGGCUGUUGCGUAUUCUCGAACCUGGAGGGGUCACAUGCAGAAUCUUCUUGGCUAUGCAUGUUCUGUCUAUUGUGUGUACAAAAUGCUUAAGUCUUUGCAAAGUGUUGUUUUCAAGGAGGCUGGUUCAGUUGAUCCUGUGACUAUGACAAUAAGCAUAUUCUUGCAGUUCUUUGAUAUAGGAAUUGAUGCUGCGUUAUUGUCGCAGUAUAUUUCCUUGUUGUUCAUCGGAGUGUUAAUUGUUAUAUCAGUUCGGGGAUUCCUAACAAACCUAAUGAAGUUCUUUUUUGCAGUUUCCAGAGUUGGGAGUGGAUCUUCGAGCAAUGUUGUACUUUUUCUGUCUGAAAUUAUGGGAAUGUAUUUCGUGUCCUCUAUUCUUUUGAUAAGGAAAAGCUUAGCGACUGAAUAUAGGAUAAUCAUAACAGAUGUACUGGGGGGAGAUAUUCAGUUUGACUUUUAUCACCGUUGGUUUGAUGCGAUAUUUGUGGCCAGUGCUUUCCUUUCUCUGCUUCUGCUCUCUGCACAUUAUACAUCUCGCCAAGUGGACAAACAUCCUAUAGAUUAAUGUAAUUUUACUAACAGGAAGGAAGCUUACUUGUACAAUGUAAAUGGUUCAGGGCCAAAGGAAGGUACAAUAUUCAGGUAAAAAGCUGUUCAGUAAUGCUGAGAAAAGUGUUUAAACUCCUCAAGACAAAAGAUUUCUUUCUGUGAGGCGAUGAUUCAUGGUGAAUGGCAAUACAGUGAAGCUAAGUCCAAGAAUGCGAACCUCGAUUAUUCUUGUGUGUAUAAUUUUUUUUUUUUUUUUUUUUUUUUUGGGUAUGCUGGAUAGCAGUAUCCAACUUGCUAUGAUGAAAUGAUACCUGAUUUUGUUAAUUCAUUCAUUUCCAAAUUGCUAUUCUUUCAACU